Molecule: ribosomal RNA, 497 nt
Filed under: uncultured bacterium
Lineage: Bacteria
Description: partial 16S ribosomal RNA
Rfam family: Bacterial small subunit ribosomal RNA
Source: RNAcentral
GAUGAACGCUGGCGGCGUGCCUAAUACAUGCAAGUCGAGCGAACGGACGAGAAGCUUGCUUCUCUGAUGUUAGCGGCGGACGGGUGAGUAACACGUGGAUAACCUACCUAUAAGACUGGGAUAACUUCGGGAAACCGGAUCUAAUACCGGAUAAUAUUUUGAACCGCAUGGUUCAAAAGUGAAAGACGGUCUUGCUGUCACUUAUAGAUGGAUCCGCGCUGCAUUAGCUAGUUGGUAAGGUAACGGCUUACCAAGGCAACGAUGCAUAGCCGACCUGAGAGGGUGAUCGGCCACCCUGGAACUGAGACACGGUACAGACUCCUACGGGAGGCAGCAGUAGGGAAUCUUCCGCAAUGGGCGAAAGCCUGACGGAGCAACGCCGAGUGAGUGAUGAAGGUCUUCGGAUCGUAAAACUCUGUUAUUAGGGAAGAACAUAUGUGUAAGUAACUGUGAACAUCUUGACGGUACCUAAUCAGAAAGCCACGGCUAACUACGUG